This 72-nucleotide transfer RNA is filed under the name Phrynosoma platyrhinos (Desert horned lizard). RNAcentral describes it as "tRNA-OTHER". The record is from RNAcentral. Lineage: Eukaryota; Metazoa; Chordata; Lepidosauria; Squamata; Phrynosomatidae.
GCCAGGAUGGUAUAGUGGUUUGAAUGUUGGACUAGGACUCUGGAGACCAGGGUUCAAAUCCCCCACUCAGCU